UGGCUCAGUGGUAGAGCACUUGCCUUGCAUGCAUGAGGACCUGGGUUCGAUUCCUCAG
Molecule: transfer RNA, 58 nt
Filed under: Dipodomys ordii (Ord's kangaroo rat)
Lineage: Eukaryota; Metazoa; Chordata; Mammalia; Rodentia; Heteromyidae
Rfam family: tRNA
About the family: Transfer RNA (tRNA) molecules are approximately 80 nucleotides in length. Their secondary structure includes four short double-helical elements and three loops (D, anti-codon, and T loops).
Source: Rfam by way of RNAcentral